Ochlerotatus camptorhynchus is the source of this 944-nucleotide long non-coding RNA. RefSeq lists it as uncharacterized. The record is from RefSeq and is a predicted model, not a curated record. The transcript is spliced from 3 exons. NCBI's taxonomy places the organism in Eukaryota, Metazoa, Arthropoda, Insecta, Diptera, Culicidae.
ACACUGCAUAACGGUACUGCAGAUUGAGUGCUGCCGUUAAAUGUUGACAAAUAGGAAUGGAGAUAAGUAAACAAGAUGAUAGUAUGUAGUAGUAGUGGUAGUAGUAGUAAUAUAGAUAAUAGUGAGUGGUAAACAUAAUUCGCCAUCGCAAAUAUAAUCUCGAUGUAUUAUUAGAAUAUAAACAAUUCAGUUCCGCGGUUAAAGUUUAUUAUUCGAAAAUCGUAUAUAAAUAGUGCUAGAUUGGUCGCAGGAGGUACAAAAAACGUUCCUUAUUUACCGCUAAAUCCUCGACGGUCGAUCGUGGUGGAUACCUGUAAAGGAUACAUUCACCCAAAAAGUAUCUACCAUUCCUCGUUGGAUUUAGAUUCACCUGCAAAUAGGUCGAGCAUAUAGCACAACAACGUUAGGGUAGUUGGACCGAAGUUCGGAUCAAGCGCAAAUCAUACAGCAAAUCGUAAGUUUCGUAGCGUUAGUGAUGAGUGAUCGUUAAUUAAAAUUAAUUAAUUUAAUAGGAUCAACAGAGAGAGUGUAGGAGGAAGAAAAGGAAGCUUUAUACAGUGGGAAAGGAAACCACUUUAUUGUAAGUAACAUCUAAUAUUAAUAAAAAUUGUAAGCUAAUGAUAAUAAAUGUUUACAGUUUGAGCGUUGCUGAAAACUAGUCAGCUGCUGUUGAAAAUUUGGUUUCCCUACGGGAACAAUUUCUCAAAAAUAAAGUGACACAAGCGGUGUCCAAGAGAGAAGUUCGGACCUUCCCAAAGAAAUGGCUUCCGAUUCCGAAACGGCGGACAAAACAGUCAUGGACCUGACAGCGACUCCGUGUGGAAUCUGCGGGCCAUCAACAUGCGACGAAGAAAUGGUAGGUUGCGACGGUUGCGCAAGCUGGUUUCAUUCUCGCUGUGUAGGUCUAACGGAGGGACUGAAGCCGAAGAAAUGGUUCUGCCAAA